GGAGGGCAAGUCUGGUGCCAGCAGCCGCGGUAAUUCCAGCUCAAUAGCGUAUAUUAAAGUUGUUGCAGUUAAAAGCUCGUAGUUGAACUUCAGACCUGGCCGGGCGGUCCGCCUUACGGUGUGUACUGUCUGGCUGGGUCUUACCUCUUGGUGAGCCGGCAUGCCCUUUACUGGGUGUGCCGGGGAACCAGGACCUUUACCUUGAGAAAAUUAGAGUGUUCAAAGCAGGCAUAUGCCCGAAUACAUUAGCAUGGAAUAAUAAAAUAGGACGUGCGGUUCUAUUUUGUUGGUUUCUAGAGUCGCCGUAAUGAUUAAUAGGGAUAGUUGGGGGCAUUAGUAUUCAGUUGCUAGAGGUGAAAUUCUUGGAUUUACUGAAGACUAACUACUGCGAAAGCAUUUGCCAAGGAUGUUUUCAUUAAUCAAGAACGAAGGUUAGGGGAUCGAAAACGAUCAGAUACCGUUGUAGUCUUAACAGUAAACUAUGCCGACUAGGGAUCGGGCGAUCUCAAUCUUAUGUGUCGCUCGGCACCUUACGAGAAAUCAAAGUACUUUGGGUUCUUGGGGGGAGUAUGGUCGCAAGGCUGAAACUUAAAGGAAUUGACGGAAGGGCACCACCAGGAGUGGAGCCUGCGGCUUAAUUUGACUCAACACGGGGAACGUACACCAGGUCCGAGACAUGACUAGGAUUGACAGAUUGAUAGCUCUUUCUAUGAUUUUAUUGGUGGUGGUGCAUGGCCGGUUCCUUUAGUUGGUUGGAGUGAUUUGUUCUGGUUAAUUUACCGNUAACGAACGAGACCUUAACCUGCUUAAUUAGCCAGGCCGGGCCUUUUUGUCUGGUUCGGCCCGGCUUCUUUAGAGGGGACGUGUCUUGCGGUCUUAGCAGACGGAAGGUUUAGUAGGCGAAUAACAAGGUCGUGUUGAUGCCCUUACGUAUGUUUCUUGGCCGGCACGCGCGCUACACUGACAGAGGCCACGCGGAGGUUUAUUAACCUUUACGGUCCGGGAACGGGUCGUGGUAAGUCUUGUGAACUACUGUCGUGCUGGGGAGUAGAGCAUUGUCAAUUAAUUUGUCUCUUCUACGAGGAAUUCCUAGUAAGCGUGAGUCAUCAGCUCGCGUUGAUU
Molecule: non-coding RNA, 1122 nt
Filed under: Trametes cinnabarina
Lineage: Eukaryota; Fungi; Basidiomycota; Agaricomycetes; Polyporales; Polyporaceae
Description: Pycnoporus cinnabarinus Eukaryotic small subunit ribosomal RNA
Rfam family: Eukaryotic small subunit ribosomal RNA
Source: Rfam by way of RNAcentral